AUGCUGGAUUGGUGCACAGCACAGCACAGCAGUGAGUCACACAUCUCUACCAAGGAGCAGCACACCAUGACAACAUCCACCAACUUCUUUUUUCCUCCUGUUUUUGAGCUCAGCUCCAGAAAUUCCCUCUCUCUGCUCUCAGCACAGCGUUACCCACACUGCCCGGCAGGUGGCGCUGUUGCACGGCUCCCGAUACCCGCCAUCACCGCGCCGUGCGGAUGGCGGCAUCGCCGUCGUCGCGCCGCGCCCGUAUCCCCACGUGCCCUCCCCUCUUCUUACAGCGCCCCCUCCCCCGCGCGGAGCCUCCCCCCGAGAACCAAUAGGAAGCCUGUUGCCAGGCAAACCUCUCAUUUGAAUGGCCCAAUCGCACGGCCGCCCUCUGUCCCUCCUUAUAUGGGGAAGCGGGACUCGCCGCCCGCCCCUCCCCCCCCGCUUUGCGCGCGGCGCUGCGCCCGGCCCCGCCCCCAGCCCGCACAGCGCGGGAAAAACAGCCUCCCUCCUUCCCUCCCGCCCCACCCCCACCGUGCGUUGGGGCCCCGUGGCGGCGGGACGCGGCGGGGAGGAGCCGGGGCUGGCAGCGCUUCCAGGGGGAGGGCGGCAGCACAGUGGAAAAUUCCAGGCGGGAGCGGCACGAGCCGGGCCGUGCCCACGCUGCCCGACAGACGCUGCCCCGCCGUGCUGCCCCGUGCUGGGGCGGCUCCUCCCUCGCACCUCUGGGCUCUGUUAGUGCGGCCCGGCCCUCAGGCACCGCCGCGCCGUCCCCCCACCGUCCGCCCCGUGUCCGGCCGUGUGCCCGCAGCCAGGCGGACUGGCCGCGCUCCGCGCCGCCCGCACAUUGUUCUCGGGGCCCGCUCCGCCGACGGCCGCCCUCCGCCUCCCUCCCUCCCUCCCUCCCUCCUCCGCCCUCUCCCCUCCCUUCGCCAGGUCCCUCCUUCCCUCGUCACCCGGCGCGGUAUAAAUCCCCUCCGCCGCCGUAUCCCCCAUCGCGGCGGACCCAGGCACUUUGGCCCCGGGGCGGGAUCCGUGCGGCCGGACCGCUGGGACUCGGAGCUCCCGCCUCGUGCCGACCUUCCCUCCGCCCCCCCCUUCUCUCUCCUCCUCGGGGUGUCCCCGCCGCCCCGCGCUGCCCGUGCCACGAUGUCGGAGAAACGCGUCGAGGAGGCUCCGGCGGAGCUGAGCGCCAAGGUGAGCCCGGCACCGGCCGCCCCCUCCCACGGCCCCGACCGCCCGGCCGCCAGGGGGGCGCGCGGCCCCUCCGCCAAUGGGCAGCGGGGGCGGGGGGCGCAGGGGCCCGCGCGCGGGAUCCCGCUCGGCGGGGUGGCGGGAAGGGGGGGGCGGAGCGGCGCGGGGGCUCCGCUGUGCUCUAGGGGCGGCUCCGCUGUGCUCUAG
Molecule: long non-coding RNA, 1389 nt
Filed under: Coturnix japonica (Japanese quail)
Lineage: Eukaryota; Metazoa; Chordata; Aves; Galliformes; Phasianidae
Description: lncRNA (ENSCJPG00005016748.1)
Source: RNAcentral